Molecule: long non-coding RNA, 3452 nt
Filed under: Anas platyrhynchos platyrhynchos (common mallard)
Lineage: Eukaryota; Metazoa; Chordata; Aves; Anseriformes; Anatidae
Description: lncRNA (ENSAPLG00000022565.1)
Source: RNAcentral
UGUGCCACUUUAAUAUCAAACCCAGAAUAUUUCAUGGGAAAGAUGGAAAUGGAGCUUCCAGUCGGGAAAAGUCGAGGUGAAGCAGGUCGGUGUUCUGCUGCUAUUUCCGUAAGGGUGGAAGCUGUGCUGCAUGAUACAGACAUCGUGUAUUUAUACUGCUAUUGAAACACCUUCCAAGCAAAAACUUUUCAGUGGUCCCAAGUCUUCCUAAUAUGUGGGAAAUUAUCGGAGGAAAUCAGAGGAAAUUUUGAAGUGCUAAUCUGGAACAUCAAUUUUAAAAAACAAGCGCCAACCAAUUAAGUUCAAAAUAUUUGGAUUUCCCCCACCCAGUGCUCCAGUUUUGAUGAGCUCUAUUGAUUUCCUCUUGCGUAAGUCACUUUCUCGUAAGCAUACCUCGGGAGAGAAAUAAAUCUGUUUGGAUACACUAGGAGGUCAGGCUGCGUUUAGAUGGCACCACUCACGCUUUGUCCAGACUGAGCAUUUGGAAGAGCAAUACAAUUUAUUACUGAAUGAGAGGAUGCAAAGAGCAUCUAGGUUUAACUGCUCCAUAUUUUUUUGUUUUAAAAUAUUCCUGGCAAGCUGUUCCUUUCGGUUCCCAAAGCGCUAUCAGAAGUUGGUGGAAUAAUGCUCUUCCAUGGGUCCAGAAGAAGCCAGGAAGGGGCUCCCCUGCAGAGGCAGUAGUCGAUGUUUUGGAUAAGGUGUCCUGCAGCACGGUUAUGUGACACUUCUCGUGCAGCCCCAGCUACGUGAGACUGCUUGGAGAACUGCACCAUCCUCCUUUCUGGCUUGGGCACCAACCCCUGCCAGCAGCACGCAGACAACUUGGUGAUGCUCAUAGGAAGCUCCUGGGGGCAGAAGAGCUGUCUGAAAGCUGGCCUGUACCCUGCCAUCCCUCCCUCUGUGCCAGCCCCAUCCCUGAAAACAGAGAUUUCUGUCCUUUAAGUGGAUGGGGGUGGGAGCCUUGCUCAGUGUGGCAGUGUUGGUGAUGCUUGGGGAUGCUGAUGGAUGCCCGUGGCACCAUGAUUGUGGGCCAGGGCCUCAAGGAAAGAAACGUGAAGGCAGUGAUCAGAGAAAGUGUGCAGAAUUCUCCUGCUCUUUUCUUUUUCAGUUUAAUUGACAUUCCUGACCUUUUCUCAGGGCAGUUUCCACUGAGAAGCAGCACCAAAUAUCCCUCUCUUCACCUCCCUGUGACACACCUUGGCUGUCUCCAGGGAGCCUGUCCUCUCCCCAGCACCCUGCAGCAUCUGGGGAACAGACGUGGCAGCAGCUCAAGCUCCAAAAGGAGUGGAAUGAAAGCUGGAAAUAAAGCCAGACAGAGAGGAGCAUAUCCCAGCCGUAAUGUAAACAGGAGUGCUAUUAAGGAGUAGCUACAGGUGAAGCAACAAAUAUAUUUAUCCUCAAGAAUUAGAGACACUGAAAACACCUGCUGCUUUCCAGAAGGAUGAAAGCCAAGAAAAGAGAAUUCCUCUCAAGCCAGAAGAGAGGAAAUUAAAUAAGACGUCAGCGGCAAAACACAGCCCCAUUGCAGCACCAGCAGAGCGGCCUUGGUCACGUCCUCAGGGCCACCUGGUGUAGCAGCCAGCAGAGCAUCCAUCCCUGCAGCAGGAGCAUCGAAGCAGGGACUGGAAUACAAACAGCACAUUCAGCUUGGCAGGGUAGAUGGCAGUUUUAGGGAGCAGGGAGGACUUUACCUUGUCACACAGUGCUCCAGCCUUCCUGGCAAGCACACGAUGCAUGCAGGAGGCAGUGUCUCACAUCCUCCCCUAUUCCUGUCCCUGGCACAGAAGAGGCAAGAGCUCAGGCUCUCGCAAUUUGCAUCAGAGACCACUGCUGGAAAGCACACAGCAGAUUGGUGAGUUGCAUGAAUGCUGUUUAUUUUUCUUUAUGGUGGAAAAAAAAGCUGCUGUGGAGAUCAGGGUCCUAUUACUCAGUGCUCUGCAUGGUGUUCUGCUUGAUUUAAGUGGCAGAAACCUUAAUUAAACAGGCUUCUUAAUACUGCAGUUCAAACUACUGGAAAGAAACAUUUGUCUGGUCAAAGCAAACAGGGUUUGAUGAGUUCCCCUGAGGGAUCCAGGGCAUGGAACGAGAACGGCACAGAGGAGAUGCUAAGUCCAGCAGGAUAUGGCUGGAUUAUUCCUCUCAUACCCUUUAUAUCUUUCAAACCAUCUGUCCAGGCUGCAGUGAGCCUUGUAGCCCACAGAUGCAACUGAUAAACUGCAAGUUCAAUCUGUAGAAGAAAUCCAAAUUACAGCCUAGGUUCUCCUUGGGCUCCUGAUCUACCCAAGAGCAAAUCCAUCAGCUCCAAGGGGUAAUUUCAGAUUCAUGAAGCUGUGAAAGAACUCAGAAGAAGACCCUAAGAGCCAAAUUAUCCUGGAGGAUGGUCAUCUAUGAAGGCAAACCCUUGCAGUGUCACAGAGCUGCCCUGAUCAAAGCACUGCAUGGGAGGGCUUUUUGAGUGGAAAACAAGCAACUGGUGCUGAAUCAGUUCUGUGGAGUGGUGGUGAGGCUGGUGUGAAAUGGAUCACAGAAAUAGCUGCCUUUAAAACAUCAUUUUUGCCUUUGAUUUGCUUACUUCUUGCUGCUGCAUUCCCCAAAGUGGAAAUUUUAUUGCCACAAGCACUCUUCACACGGAGGUGGCAGCUGAGGAAAGAUUUGACUGAUUAAAUCUGCCGUCGUCUCUGGCACAGGCAAUGGCAAUUGCCUCAUGUCUUUCCCAGCCCUGAAAUACAGAUCUGUUCUUUUUGGUUCAACUUCUAUUCUCUUCCCCAAAGUUUUCCAUGAUCUUGCUCUGGAAGGGGAGAGGAGAGCAGAACAAUGUAUCUGACUCGCUGUCUGCAAGAGCCUGGAUACCAGCGCAAACAGGUCUGUUUAUUUUACAAGUGCCUGUACACAUAAUAUUAAAACCAAAUAUUGGUUCUGGAGCAGGGACUCAUAAUGGGAUAGUUUUUCACCUGAUAAAUAGCUGGGUCUGUGUGGGGAUUCAUAUCAGGCUCACACAAACAAACCUAAAGUCAAUAUUUGCCACCUCGCCUGUGAUCUGCCUGCUUCUGCAGCACCCCUUGCAGGGAGGCCGGGCAAGCGUCCUUCUGCGGCUUCACCUAGAGGCCAGGCGCUUCAUUCCUGCGCUACAUCAGUGAUAAAUCGAGGAACAAAAAUAGGAAAUAGGCAAGAAAUCACCAGCUCAGCUGCCUAGGGUAGGGUUUUCCCAAACGCUCCAGUUCCCCUUGGAGGCAGGACCAAGAUACGUUUGCUUUUCUCUUGCUGCUCUGCAGUGUGUGUGUGUGCGCACCUCGGAGAAAUGUCACCCUUCCUGACACUGCAUGGCUUCCACUUCAUCUGGAUUCUCUGUGCAAAAGGGAGCAGCCAAACAGUUUUAUAAUUGUCCCAACUUACCAACUAGCUGAAAGCUGGGGACCUGCAGGUUAAUAAAAAAAUACACAUCUGAAAAGCCA